AUUGAACGCUGGCGGCAUGCCUUACACAUGCAAGUCGAACGGCAGCACGGGUGCUUGCACCUGGUGGCGAGUGGCGAACGGGUGAGUAAUACAUCGGAACGUACCAUAUCGUGGGGGAUAACGCAGCGAAAGCUGCGCUAAUACCGCAUACGCCCUGAGGGGGAAAGCGGGGGAUCGAAAGACCUCGCGCGACUAGAGCGGCCGAUGCCUGAUUAGCUUGUUGGUGGGGUAAAAGCCCACCAAGGCGACGAUCAGUAGCUGGUCUGAGAGGACGAUCAGCCACACUGGGACUGAGACACGGCCCAGACUCCUACGGGAGGCAGCAGUGGGGAAUUUUGGACAAUGGGGGCAACCCUGAUCCAGCAAUGCCGCGUGAGUGAAGAAGGCCUUCGGGUUGUAAAGCUCUUUUGUCAGGGAAGAAACACCGGCUCUAACACAGUCCGGGAAUGACGGUACCUGAAGAAUAAGCACCGGCUAACUACGUGCCAGCAGCCGCCGUAA
Molecule: ribosomal RNA, 501 nt
Filed under: uncultured bacterium
Lineage: Bacteria
Description: partial 16S ribosomal RNA
Rfam family: Bacterial small subunit ribosomal RNA
Source: RNAcentral